RNAcentral lists this ribosomal RNA (271 nucleotides) under uncultured bacterium. RNAcentral's name for it is "partial 16S ribosomal RNA". It matches the Rfam family "Bacterial small subunit ribosomal RNA", at positions 264 to 523 of the family's 1533-position model. The record is from RNAcentral.
CUCACCAGACUACGACGGGUAGCUGUUCUGAGAGGAAGAUCAGCAACACUGGAACUGAGACACGGUCCAGACACCUACGGGUGGCAGCAGUCGAGAAUCAUUCACAAUGGACGAAAGUCUGGAUGGUGCAACGCCGGCGUGGAGGAUGAAGGGCCCUAGGGGUCGUAAACUCCUGUCAUAGCAGAGUAAGGCAUAGAUGUUAAUAGCAUCUAUGUUUGAUAGUAUGCUAAGAGGAAGGGACCGGCUAACUUCGUGCCAGCAGCCGCGGUAA